RNAcentral lists this transfer RNA (65 nucleotides) under Amphipholis squamata. RNAcentral describes it as "transfer RNA-Tyr". It matches the Rfam family "tRNA". Rfam says of the family: Transfer RNA (tRNA) molecules are approximately 80 nucleotides in length. Their secondary structure includes four short double-helical elements and three loops (D, anti-codon, and T loops). Lineage: Eukaryota; Metazoa; Echinodermata; Ophiuroidea; Amphilepidida; Amphiuridae. The record is from RNAcentral.
UAUAAGGUGGCUGAAUUGUAGGCAUUGGAUUGUAAACCCAGUUACGGGAAAUUUCCCCCUUAUAA